GGCGAAAGCCUGAUGGAGCAACGCCGCGUGGGUGAAGAAGGUCUUCGGAUCGUAAAACCCUGUUGUUAGAGAAGAAAGUGCGUGAGAGUAACUGUUCACGUUUCGACGGUAUCUAACCAGAAAGCCACGGCUAACUACGUGCCAGCAGCCGCGGUAAUACGUAGGUGGCAAGCGUUAUCCGGAUUUAUUGGGCGUAAAGGGAACGCAGGCGGUCUUUUAAGUCUGAUGUGAAAGCCUUCGGCUUAACCGGAGUAGUGCAUUGGAAACUGGGAGACUUGAGUGCAGAAGAGGAGAGUGGAACUCCAUGUGUAGCGGUGAAAUGCGUAGAUAUAUGGAAGAACACCAGUGGCGAAAGCGGCUCUCUGGUCUGUAACUGACGCUGAGGUUCGAAAGCGUGGGUAGCAAACAGGAUUAGAUACCCUGGUAGUCCACGCCGUAAACGAUGAAUGCUAAGUGUUGGAGGGUUUCCGCCCUUCA
This 477-nucleotide ribosomal RNA is filed under the name uncultured bacterium. Its description in RNAcentral is "bacterial SSU rRNA". It matches the Rfam family "Bacterial small subunit ribosomal RNA", at positions 374 to 842 of the family's 1533-position model. The record is from RNAcentral.